RNAcentral lists this ribosomal RNA (1174 nucleotides) under Salmonella enterica subsp. enterica serovar Typhimurium. Its description in RNAcentral is "bacterial SSU rRNA". It matches the Rfam family "Bacterial small subunit ribosomal RNA", at positions 1 to 1165 of the family's 1533-position model. The record is from RNAcentral. Lineage: Bacteria; Pseudomonadati; Pseudomonadota; Gammaproteobacteria; Enterobacterales; Enterobacteriaceae.
AAAUUGAAGAGUUUGAUCAUGGCUCAGAUUGAACGCUGGCGGCAGGCCUAACACAUGCAAGUCGAACGGUAACAGGAAGCAGCUUGCUGCUUCGCUGACGAGUGGCGGACGGGUGAGUAAUGUCUGGGAAACUGCCUGAUGGAGGGGGAUAACUACUGGAAACGGUGGCUAAUACCGCAUAACGUCGCAAGACCAAAGAGGGGGACCUUCGGGCCUCUUGCCAUCAGAUGUGCCCAGAUGGGAUUAGCUUGUUGGUGAGGUAACGGCUCACCAAGGCGACGAUCCCUAGCUGGUCUGAGAGGAUGACCAGCCACACUGGAACUGAGACACGGUCCAGACUCCUACGGGAGGCAGCAGUGGGGAAUAUUGCACAAUGGGCGCAAGCCUGAUGCAGCCAUGCCGCGUGUAUGAAGAAGGCCUUCGGGUUGUAAAGUACUUUCAGCGGGGAGGAAGGUGUUGUGGUUAAUAACCGCAGCAAUUGACGUUACCCGCAGAAGAAGCACCGGCUAACUCCGUGCCAGCAGCCGCGGUAAUACGGAGGGUGCAAGCGUUAAUCGGAAUUACUGGGCGUAAAGCGCACGCAGGCGGUCUGUCAAGUCGGAUGUGAAAUCCCCGGGCUCAACCUGGGAACUGCAUUCGAAACUGGCAGGCUUGAGUCUUGUAGAGGGGGGUAGAAUUCCAGGUGUAGCGGUGAAAUGCGUAGAGAUCUGGAGGAAUACCGGUGGCGAAGGCGGCCCCCUGGACAAAGACUGACGCUCAGGUGCGAAAGCGUGGGGAGCAAACAGGAUUAGAUACCCUGGUAGUCCACGCCGUAAACGAUGUCUACUUGGAGGUUGUGCCCUUGAGGCGUGGCUUCCGGAGCUAACGCGUUAAGUAGACCGCCUGGGGAGUACGGCCGCAAGGUUAAAACUCAAAUGAAUUGACGGGGGCCCGCACAAGCGGUGGAGCAUGUGGUUUAAUUCGAUGCAACGCGAAGAACCUUACCUGGUCUUGACAUCCACAGAAGAAUCCAGAGAUGGAUUUGUGCCUUCGGGAACUGUGAGACAGGUGCUGCAUGGCUGUCGUCAGCUCGUGUUGUGAAAUGUUGGGUUAAGUCCCGCAACGAGCGCAACCCUUAUCCUUUGUUGCCAGCGAUUAGGUCGGGAACUCAAAGGAGACUGCCAGUGAUAAACUG